This 468-nucleotide ribosomal RNA is filed under the name uncultured bacterium. RNAcentral describes it as "partial 16S ribosomal RNA". It matches the Rfam family "Bacterial small subunit ribosomal RNA", at positions 28 to 507 of the family's 1533-position model. The record is from RNAcentral.
GACGAACGCUGGCGGCGUGCUUAACACAUGCAAGUCGAACGGAAAGGCCCUGCUUUUGUGGGGUGCUCGAGUGGCGAACGGGUGAGUAACACGUGAGUAACCUGCCCUUGACUUUGGGAUAACUUCAGGAAACUGGGGCUAAUACCGGAUAGGAGCUCCUGCUGCAUGGUGGGGGUUGGAAAGUUUCGGCGGUUGGGGAUGGACUCGCGGCUUAUCAGCUUGUUGGUGGGGUAGUGGCUUACCAAGGCUUUGACGGGUAGCCGGCCUGAGAGGGUGACCGGCCACAUUGGGACUGAGAGACGGACCAGACUCCUACGGGAGGCAGCAGGGGGGAAUAUUGCACAAUGGGCGGAAGCCUGAUGAAGCAACGCCGCGUGCGGGAUGACGGCCUUCGGGUUGUAAACCGCUUUCGCCUGUGACGAAGCGUGAGUGACGGUAAUGGGUAAAGAAGCACCGGCUAACUACGUG